RNAcentral lists this ribosomal RNA (886 nucleotides) under uncultured bacterium. RNAcentral's name for it is "bacterial SSU rRNA". It matches the Rfam family "Bacterial small subunit ribosomal RNA", at positions 511 to 1402 of the family's 1533-position model. The record is from RNAcentral.
GCCGCCGCGGUAAUGCGUAGGGUGCAAGCGUUAAUCGGAAUUACUGGGCGUAAAGCGUGCGCAGGCGGUUAUGCAAGACAGAGGUGAAAUCCCCGGGCUCAACCUGGGAACUGCCUUUGUGACUGCAUGGCUAGAGUACGGUAGAGGGGGAUGGAAUUCCGCGUGUAGCAGUGAAAUGCGUAGAUAUGCGGAGGAACACCGAUGGCGAAGGCAAUCCCCUGGACCUGUACUGACGCUCAUGCACGAAAGCGUGGGAAGCAAACAGGAUUAGAUACCCUGGUAGUCCACGCCCUAAACGAUGUCAACUGGUUGUUGGGAGGGUUUCUUCUCAGUAACGUAGCUAACGCGUGAAGUUGACCGCCUGGGGAGUACGGCCGCAAGGUUGAAACUCAAAGGAAUUGACGGGGACCCGCACAAGCGGUGGAUGAUGUGGUUUAAUUCGAUGCAACGCGAAAAACCUUACCUACCCUUGACAUGCCAGGAAUCCUGAAGAGAUUUGGGAGUGCUCGAAAGAGAGCCUGGACACAGGUGCUGCAUGGCCGUCGUCAGCUCGUGUCGUGAGAUGUUGGGUUAAGUCCCGCAACGAGCGCAACCCUUGUCAUUAGUUGCUACGAAAGGGCACUCUAAUGAGACUGCCGGUGACAAACCGGAGGAAGGUGGGGAUGACGUCAGGUCAUCAUGGCCCUUAUGGGUAGGGCUACACACGUCAUACAAUGGCCGGGACAGAGGGCUGCCAACCCGCGAGGGGGAGCUAAUCCCAGAAACCCGGUCGUAGUCCGGAUCGUAGUCUGCAACUCGACUGCGUGAAGUCGGAAUCGCUAGUAAUCGCGGAUCAGCUUGCCGCGGUGAAUACGUUCCCGGGUCUUGUACACACCGCCCGUCAAAC